UCCAGACUCCUACGGGAGGCAGCAGUGAGGAAUAUUGGUCAAUGGCCGAAGGGCUGAACCAGCCAAGCCGCGUGAAGGAAUAAGGCCCUACGGGUCGUAAACUUCUUUAGUCAGGGAACAAAGGGAGCCACGCGUGGCGCUGUGAGUGUACCUGAAGAAUAAGCAUCGGCUAACUCCGUGCCAGCAGCCGCGGUAAUACGUAGGGAGCGAGCGUUAUCCGGAAUUAUUGGGUGUAAAGGGUGCGUAGACGGGAAAGCAAGUUAGUUGUGAAAUCCCUCGGCUUAACUGAGGAACUGCAACUAAAACUACUUUUCUUGAGUGCAGGAGAGGUAAGUGGAAUUCCUAGUGUAGCGGUGAAAUGCGUAGAUAUUAGGAGGAACACCAGUGGCGAAGGCGACUUACUGGACUGUAACUGACGUUGAGGCACGAAAGUGUGGGGAGCAAACAGGAUUAGAUACCCCCGUAC
Molecule: ribosomal RNA, 466 nt
Filed under: uncultured bacterium
Lineage: Bacteria
Description: bacterial SSU rRNA
Rfam family: Bacterial small subunit ribosomal RNA
Source: RNAcentral